Molecule: ribosomal RNA, 403 nt
Filed under: uncultured bacterium
Lineage: Bacteria
Description: partial 16S ribosomal RNA
Rfam family: Bacterial small subunit ribosomal RNA
Source: RNAcentral
AUUGAACGCUGGCGGCAGGCCUAACACAUGCAAGUCGAACGAGUGGCGGACGGGUGAGUAAUGUAUGGGGACUGCCCGAUAGCGGGGGAUAACUACUGGAAACGGUAGCUAAUACCGCAUACUAUCGGAUAACCCAUAUGGGAUUAGCUAGUUGGGGAGGUAAUGGCUCACCAAGGCGAAGAUCCCUAGCUGGUCUGAGAGGAGGAUCAGCCACACUGGGACUGAGACACGGCCCAGACUCCGACGGAGGCAGCAGUGGGGAAGAUUGCACAAUGGGCGCAAGCCUGAUGCAGCCAUGCCGCGUGUAUGAAGAAGGCCUUCGGGUUGUAAAGUACUUUCAGUCGGGAGGCGUUACCGACAGAAGAAGCACCGGCUAACUCCGUGCCAGCAGCCGCGGUAAUUC